UACGUAGGGUGCAAGCGUUGUCCGGAAUUAUUGGGCGUAAAGAGCUCGUAGGCGGUUUGUCGCGUCUGCUGUGAAAACGCGAGGCUCAACCUCGCGCCUGCAGUGGGUACGGGCAGACUAGAGUGCGGUAGGGGAGAUUGGAAUUCCUGGUGUAGCGGUGGAAUGCGCAGAUAUCAGGAGGAACACCGAUGGCGAAGGCAGAUCACUGGGCCGCAACUGACGCUGAGGAGCGAAAGCUAGGGGAGCAAACGGG
RNAcentral lists this ribosomal RNA (253 nucleotides) under uncultured bacterium. Its description in RNAcentral is "partial 16S ribosomal RNA". It matches the Rfam family "Bacterial small subunit ribosomal RNA", at positions 524 to 776 of the family's 1533-position model. The record is from RNAcentral.